AGCGAACGCUGGCGGCGUGCCUAACACAUGCAAGUCGAACGUGAAAAGGGGCAACCCUGAGUAAAGUGGCGUACGGGUGAGUAACGCGUAGGUAAUCUACCCCAGAAUCUGGAAUAACCGGCCGAAAGGCUGGCUAAUACUGGAUAGAGCGACGGAAUCCGUAAUUGGGUUUUUCGGGAAAGGGAGGGAGCAAUCCCCCUCGUUUUGGGAUGAGCCUGCGUCUCAUUAGCUAGUUGGCGGGGUAACGGCCCACCAAGGCAUUGAUGAGUAGCUGGUC
This 277-nucleotide ribosomal RNA is filed under the name uncultured bacterium. RNAcentral's name for it is "partial 16S ribosomal RNA". It matches the Rfam family "Bacterial small subunit ribosomal RNA", at positions 29 to 292 of the family's 1533-position model. The record is from RNAcentral.